UAUUGACCUCCACCCCAAGUAUCCCAACCAUCACCCCAAAACUCUCCCAAUUAAGACGAUGACGACCCCAAACUCCCCCAUUUCCACCCAUGAACCCCAAUCCCUCUCAUUAAGACGAUCGCUCAGAUGACCCUAAUUAAGAUGACGGCUUAAUUAAGCCCUGUAAUUACACUAAUGACCCCAAUCUGCCCCAUAAUUUGCAUCCCACCCCAAGUAUCCCAAUGAUGAACCCAAAGCCUCCCAACAAACCAACGACGUCGAAUCCCUCCAAGCCAUCUGUGACCACACAGAUCCCCCCCAAUUAAGCCGUAAUUACCCUCAUUACCCUAAUUAACCGAGCCUCCUUAAUUAGGAGAAUGAACCCACUCUCUCCCAGCAUCAACACCGACCCCAAAUCCCCCUAAUUAAGAAGAUCCCCAAAUGAAACCAACGACCCCAAAGGAUAACGCCGCUUUAAUCCCCAUCAAAUGACCUCCCAGACCCCAAUUAAGCCCUAAUUACCCUCAUUACCCUAAUGAACCCAGGCUCUUUAACUAGAAGAAUGAACCCACUCUCUCCCAGCAUCGACACCGACCCCAAAUCCCCCUAAUUAAGAAGAUCCCAUAAUUAAGAAGGUCCCCAAAUGAAUCCAACGACCCCAGAGGAUAACGCCGCUUUAAUCAAAUCCCCUCCCAGAUCCAUCCCAAUUAAGCCCUAAUUACCCUCAUUACCCUAAUUAACCGAGCCUCUUUAAUUAGGAUAAUGAACCCACUCUCUCCCAGCAUCGACACUGACCCCAAAUCCCCCUAAUUAAGAAGAAAAUCCCAUAAUUAAGAAGGUCCCCAAAUGAAACCAACGACCCCGAAAGGCAACGCCGCUUUAAUCAAAUCCCCUCUCAGAUCCAUCCCAAUUAAGCCCUAAUUACCCUCAUUACACUAAUGAACCCAGCCUCUUUAAUUAGGAUAAUGAACCCACUCUCUCCCAGCGUCGACACCGACCCCAAAUCCCCCUAAUUAAGAAGAAGAUCCCAUAAUUAAGAAGGUCCCCAAAUGAAACCAACGACCCCAAAGGAUAACGCCGCUUUAAUCCCCAUCAAAUCACCUCCCAGACCCCCCAAUUAAGCCCUAAUUACCCUCAUUACCCUAAUGAACCCAGCCCCUCUAAUUAGGAGAAUGAACCCACUCUCUCCCAGUGUCGACACCGACCCCAAAUCACCGACCCCAAAUCCCCAUAAUUAAGAAGAAGAUCCCAUAAUUAAGAAGGUCCCCAAAUGAAUCCAACGACCCCCAUAGGCAACGCCACUCAGACGCCCCCAAUUAAGCCCUAAUUACCCUCAUUACCCUAAUGAACCCAGCCCUUCUAAUUAGGAUAAUGAACCCACUCUCUCCCAGCAUCGACACCGACCCCAAAUCCCCCUAAUUAAGAAGAAGAUCCCAUAAUUAAGAAGGUCCCCAAAUGAAUCCAACGACCCCAGAGGAUAACGCCGCUUUAAUCAAAUCCCCUCCCAGAUCCAUCCCAAUUAAGCCCUAAUUACCCUCAUUACCCUAAUUAACCGAGCCUCUUUAAUUAGGAUAAUGAACCCACUCUCUCCCAGCAUCGACACUGACCCCAAAUCCCCCUAAUUAAGAAGAAAAUCCCAUAAUUAAGAAGGUCCCCAAAUGAAACCAACGACCCCGAAAGGCAACGCCGCUUUAAUCAAAUCCCCUCUCAGAUCCAUCCCAAUUAAGCCCUAAUUACCCUCAUUACACUAAUGAACCCAGCCUCUUUAAUUAGGAUAAUGAACCCACUCUCUCCCAGCGUCGACACCGACCCCAAAUCCCCCUAAUUAAGAAGAAGAUCCCAUAAUUAAGAAGGUCCCCAAAUGAAACCAACGACCCCAAAGGAUAACGCCGCUUUAAUCCCCAUCAAAUCACCUCCCAGACCCCCCAAUUAAGCCCUAAUUACCCUCAUUACCCUAAUGAACCCAGCCCCUCUAAUUAGGAGAAUGAACCCACUCUCUCCCAGUGUCGACACCGACCCCAAAUCACCGACCCCAAAUCCCCAUAAUUAAGAAGAAGAUCCCAUAAUUAAGAAGGUCCCCAAAUGAAUCCAACGACCCCCAUAGGCAACGCCACUCAGACGCCCCCAAUUAAGCCCUAAUUACCCUCAUUACCCUAAUGAACCCAGCCCUUCUAAUUAGGAUAAUGAACCCACUCUCUCCCAGCAUCGACACCGACCCCAAAUCCCCCUAAUUAAGAAGAAGAUCCCAUAAUUAAGAAGGUCCCCAAAUGAAACCAACGACCCCCAAAGGCAACGCUGCUCAGACGCCCCCAAUUAAGCCCUAAUUACCCUCAUUACCCUAAUGAACCCAGCCUCUUUAAUUAGGAUAAUGAACCCACUCUCUCCCAGCGUCAACACCGACCCCAAAUCCCCCUAAUUAAGAAGAAGAUCCCAUAAUUAAGAAGGUCCCCAAAUGAAACCAACGACCCCAAAGGAUAACGCCGCUUUAAUCCCCAUCAAAUCACCUCCCAGACCCCCCAAUUAAGCCCUAAUUACCCUCAUUACCCUAAUUAUUUCCCCCCCCAGCCCCAAUUAACACAAUUAACACCUUAAUUAAUAACAAGCCGAGGCCGAAUCGGCCAAAACCAGGGACACAUUGACGGCGCCGCCUUUACCCGAAGCCUUACCCCUCUAAUUACCUUAACGACCCCAAAUCCCUCUCCUUACAUUCCUGACCCCCAGCUCCUCUAAUUAGGGGCAUCACCCCAAUCCCUCUCAUUAAGACCAUCACUCAGAUGACCCUAAUUAAUAUCAAGGCCUAAUUAAGCCCUCUAAUUACACUAAUGACCCCAAUCUACCCCAUUAUUUGCAUCCACCCCAAGUAUCCCAACCAUGACCCCAAAACUCUCCCAAUUAAGACGAUGACGACCCCAAACUCCCCAAUUUCCACCUGUGAACCCCAAUCCCUCUCAUUAAGACCAUCACUCAGAUGACCCUAAUUAAUAUCAAGGCCUAAUUAAGCCCUCUAAUUACACUAAUGACCCCAGUCUGCCCCAUAAUUUGCAUCUCACCCCACGUACCCCAGUGAUGAACCCAAAGCCUCCCAACAAACCAACGACGUCGAAUCCCUCCAAGCCAUCUGUAACCACACAGAUCCCCCCCAAUUAAGCCGUAAUUACCCUCAUUACACUAAUGAACCCAGCCUCUUUAAUUAGGAUAAUGAACCCACUCUCUCCCAGCGUCGACACCGACCCCAAAUCCCCCUAAUUAAGAAGAUCCCAUAAUUAAGAAGGUCCCCAAAUGAAACCAACGACCCCGAAAGGCAACGCCACUCAGAUGCCCCCAAUUAAGCCCUAAUUACCCUCAUUACCCUAAUGAACCCAGCCUCUUUAAUUAGGAUAAUGAACCCACUCUCUCCCAGCAUCAACACCAACCACAAAUCCCCCUAAUUAAGAAGAUCCCAUAAUUAAGAAGGUCCCCAAAUGAAACCAACGACCCCAAAGGAUAACGCCGCUUUAAUCAAAUCCCCUCCCAGAUCCAUCCCAAUUAAGCCCUAAUUACCCUCAUUACCCUAAUGAACCCAGCCUCUUUAAUUAGGAUAAUGAACCCACUCUCUCCCAGCAUCAACACCGACCCCAAAUCCCCCUAAUUAAGAAGAAGAUCCCAUAAUUAAGAAGGUCCCCAAAUGAAACCAACGACCCCGAAAGGCAACGCCGCUUUAAUCCAAUCCCCUCUCAGAUCCAUCCCAAUUAAGCCCUAAUUACCCUCAUUACCCUAAUUAACCCAGCCCCUUUAAUUAGGAGAUUGAACCCACUCUCUCCCAGCAUCAACACCAACCCCAAAUCCCCAUAAUUAAGAAGAAGAUCCCAUAAUUAAGAAGGUCCCCAAAUGAAACCAACGACCCCAAAGGAUAACGCCGCUUUAAUCCCCAUCAAAUCACCUCCCAGACCCCCCAAUUAAGCCCUAAUUACCCUCAUUACCCUAAUUAACCCAGCCGCUCUAAUUAUAAGAUUGAACCCACUCUCUCCCAGUGUCGACACCGACCCCAAAUCCCCCUAAUUAAGAAGAAGAUCCCAUAAUUAAGAAGGUCCCCAAAUGAAUCCAAGGACCCCGAAAGGCAACGCCACUCAGACGCCCCCAAUUAAGCCCUAAUUACCCUCAUUACCCUAAUGAACCCAGCCUCUUUAAUUAGGAUAAUGAACCCACUCUCUCGCAGCGUCGACACCGACCCCAAAUCCCCCUAAUUAACAAGAAGAUCCCAUAAUUAAGAAGGUCCCCAAAUGAAACCAACGACCCCAAAGGAUAACGCCGCUUUAAUCCCCAUCAAAUCACCU
Molecule: long non-coding RNA, 4292 nt
Organism: Lagopus muta (rock ptarmigan)
Lineage: Eukaryota; Metazoa; Chordata; Aves; Galliformes; Phasianidae
Exons: 5
Source: RefSeq, a predicted model, not a curated record